AUUCAUUAUGGAUACUUAAUUUUAUGAGUCAAGGCAGUGCGCUGUCUAAGAAUACUAUAUGGCCAUUGUUAAAAUAUGUCAAAGUAUGUAUUUUAAGGUCUAGGCCAAGUCCCCCAGCUAGUGAAUUUACAUAUCUAUCCCCACAAAAACCCAAUAAACGACUAUGCACAACACAAAAAACACUUGGAAACAAAUUUCUAUUCCAGGACAUCCCCCAUUGAGGGAAAGCGAGUCAAAUGCUGAACAAAAAGCUAUUAAGGGUAAAAGGCAAAGCACUUUGUGGUGCUUAAUCCACAAAUGAUCA
This 304-nucleotide unclassified non-coding RNA is filed under the name Hevea brasiliensis (rubber tree). The record is from RNAcentral. Lineage: Eukaryota; Viridiplantae; Streptophyta; Magnoliopsida; Malpighiales; Euphorbiaceae.